Molecule: ribosomal RNA, 752 nt
Filed under: bacterium
Lineage: Bacteria
Description: bacterial SSU rRNA
Rfam family: Bacterial small subunit ribosomal RNA
Source: RNAcentral
UACGACCGCAAGGUUAAAACUCAAAGGAAUAGACGGGGACUUGCACAAGCGGUGGUUCAUGUGGUUUAAUUCGAUGGUAAACGAAGAACCUUACCAGGGUUAGAAAUCUAGUCGAAGGCAAGCAGAAACGUUUGUCGUCUCACAAGGACGGCUAGACAGGUGCUGCAUGGCCGUCGUCAGUUCGUGGUUUGAAUUGAUCCCUUAAGUGGGGUAACGAACGCAACCCUCGUUGCCUGUUAUAUUUGUCAGGCGAGACUGCCCCAGAUUUUGCUCAGAAGCAAAAUCCAGUGAAAAGUGUAAAGUCAAAAGUGGAAAGUGGAUGCAUUUGUAUUCGACUUUUUACUUUAAACUUUUAACUUUCAACUUGAUUUUGAGCUUCCGCUCAAAAUCUGGGGAGGAAGGCGAGGAUGACGCCAGGUCAGCAUGGCCCUCUGAUACCCUGGGCUACACACGUGGAACAAUGGCCGCUACAACGCGUUGCGACGGGGUAACCCUGAGCUAAUCGUUAUAAAAGCGGCCCCAGUUUGGAUUGAGGUCUGCAACUUGACCUCAUGAAAUCGGAAUCGCUAGUAAUCGCGGGUCAGCACACCGCGGUGAAUACGUUCUCAAGUCUUGUACUCACCGCCCGUCAAGUCAGGGGAGUUGGAAGUACCCGAAGUCCCGCCUCGCGCGGGCCUAAGGUAAAUUCAAUGACAAAGACUAAGUCGUAACAAGGCACGGGUAGCGGAAGCUGCUCGUGGAAUAUUUCAAUU